GAAAUGCGAUAAGUAAUGUGAAUUGCAGAAUUCAGUGAAUCAUCGAAUCUUUGAACGCACCUUGCGCUCCUUGGUAUUCCUUGGAGCAUGCCUGUUUGAGUAUCAUGAAAUCUUCAAAGUAAAUCUUUUGUUAACUCAAUUGGUUUCUACUUUGGUAUUGGAGGUCUUUGCAGCUUCACACCUGCUCCUCUUUGUUCAUUAGCUGGAUCUCAGUGUUAUGCUUGGUUCCACUCGGCGUGAUAAGUUAUCUAUCGCUGAGGACACUGUAAAAGGUGGCCAAGGUAAAUGCAGAUGAACCGCUUCUAAUAGUCCAUUGACUUGGACAAUACUUUUAUGAUCUGAUCUCAAAUCAGGUAGGAAUGCCCGCUGAACUUAAGC
This 378-nucleotide unclassified non-coding RNA is filed under the name plant metagenome. RNAcentral's name for it is "partial contains 5.8S ribosomal RNA, internal transcribed spacer 2, and large subunit ribosomal RNA". The stretch from base 1 to 105 matches the Rfam family "5.8S ribosomal RNA", at positions 50 to 154 of the family's 154-position model. The record is from RNAcentral.